UACGUAGGGACCGAGCGUUGUCCGGAUUCAUUGGGCGUAAAGAGCUCGUAGGCGGCUGUUCAAGUCGAACGUGAAAACUCGGAGCUCAACUCCGAGCCUGCGUUCGAUACUGGACGGCUAGAGUCUGGUAGGGGGAUCUGGAAUUCCUGGUGUAGCGGUGGAAUGCGCAGAUAUCAGGAGGAACACCAGUGGCGAAGGCGAGUCUCUGGGAUGAUGCUGACGCUGAGGCGCGAAAGCCAGGGGAGCAAACGGG
This 253-nucleotide ribosomal RNA is filed under the name uncultured bacterium. Its description in RNAcentral is "partial 16S ribosomal RNA". It matches the Rfam family "Bacterial small subunit ribosomal RNA", at positions 524 to 776 of the family's 1533-position model. The record is from RNAcentral.